UUGACAAUUGGACCGUGAAGGCAUACUUUCAGGAGUGAGGGUAGAGCUGGGUUUCCCCCGCCCUGGUAGUCUUAGUAUGCUGGGUAGCUAAUCACUAAGAGCACCACGAUGAUGAGUAUCUUCAUCAUGACCCUUUCCUUAUU
This 143-nucleotide small RNA is filed under the name Escherichia coli. RNAcentral describes it as "Short Intergenic Abundant RNA". It matches the Rfam family "Short Intergenic Abundant RNA". Rfam says of the family: This family contains multiple ncRNA from E. coli that were identified in a large scale screen of E. coli, were they were called candidates 43,55 and 61. These RNAs have also been identified by other groups and called QUAD RNAs. RNAcentral also lists the same sequence under 6 other names. Lineage: Bacteria; Pseudomonadati; Pseudomonadota; Gammaproteobacteria; Enterobacterales; Enterobacteriaceae. The record is from RNAcentral.